Small nucleolar RNA from Hevea brasiliensis (rubber tree), 95 nucleotides. RefSeq annotates it as small nucleolar RNA snoR128. Lineage: Eukaryota; Viridiplantae; Streptophyta; Magnoliopsida; Malpighiales; Euphorbiaceae. The transcript has a single exon. The record is from RefSeq and is a predicted model, not a curated record.
UUGCUAUGAUGAUGUCAUAAAUAAGUAGAAAGCAUCCAUUGAAUGCUUGAUGAAACUUCGACAUUCAAGUCGAUCCUGAGCGGUUACCUGAGCAA